This 492-nucleotide ribosomal RNA is filed under the name uncultured bacterium. RNAcentral's name for it is "partial 16S ribosomal RNA". It matches the Rfam family "Bacterial small subunit ribosomal RNA", at positions 29 to 507 of the family's 1533-position model. The record is from RNAcentral.
AGUGAACGCUGGCGGUAGGCCUAACACAUGCAAGUCGAACGGCAGCACAGUAAGAGCUUGCUCUUACGGGUGGCGAGUGGCGGACGGGUGAGGAAUACAUCGGACUCUACUUUUUCGUGGGGGAUAACGUAGGGAAACUUACGCUAAUACCGCAUACGACCUACGGGUGAAAGCAUGGGAUCUUCGGACCUUGCGCGAUUGAAUGAGCCGAUGUCGGAUUAGCUAGUUGGCGGGGUAAAGGCCCACCAAGGCGACGAUCCGUAGCUGGUCUGAGAGGAUGAUCAGCCACACUGGAACUGAGACACGGUCCAGACUCCUACGGGAGGCAGCAGUGGGGAAUAUUGGACAAUGGGCGCAAGCCUGAUCCAGCCAUACCGCGUGGGUGAAGAAGGCCUUCGGGUUGUAAAGCCCUUUUGUUGGGAAAGAAAAGCAGCAGGUUAAGACCCCGCUGUUCUGACGGUACCCAAAGAAUAAGCACCGGCUAACUUCGUG